This 21-nucleotide ribosomal RNA is filed under the name Alternaria sp. RNAcentral's name for it is "partial 18S ribosomal RNA". Lineage: Eukaryota; Fungi; Ascomycota; Dothideomycetes; Pleosporales; Pleosporaceae. The record is from RNAcentral.
GGUGACUGCGGAGGGACAUUA